CUCCUACGGGAGGCAGCAGUAAGGAAUAUUGGUCAAUGGGCGGAAGCCUGAACCAGCCAUGCCGCGUGCAGGAAGACGGCCCUAUGGGUUGUAAACUGCUUUUGCAGGGGAAUAAACCUUGAUAUGUAUACCAAGCUGAAUGUACUCUGAGAAUAAGGAUCGGCUAACUCCGUGCCAGCAACCGCGGUAAUAC
RNAcentral lists this ribosomal RNA (193 nucleotides) under uncultured bacterium. Its description in RNAcentral is "partial 16S ribosomal RNA". It matches the Rfam family "Bacterial small subunit ribosomal RNA", at positions 336 to 526 of the family's 1533-position model. The record is from RNAcentral.